UGGGGAAUAUUGCGCAAUGGGCGAAAGCCUGACGCAGCGACGCCGCGUGAGGGAUGAAGGUUUUCGGAUCGUAAACCUCUGUCAGAAGGGAAGAAACCGCACUGUGCUAAUCAGCAGUGCCUUGACGGUACCUUCAAAGGAAGCACCGGCUAACUCCGUGCCAGCAGCCGCGGUAAUACGGAGGGUGCAAGCGUUGUCCGGAAUCACUGGGCGUAAAGGGUUCGCAGGCGGAAAUGCAAGUCAGUUGUGAAAGGCAGAGGCUCAACCUCUGUAAGCAAUUGAAACUGUAUUUCUUGAGAUGUGGAGAGGCAAGUGGAAUUCCUAGUGUAGCGGUGAAAUGCGUAGAUAUUAGGAAGAAUACCGGUGGCGAAGGCGACUUGCUGGACACAAACUGACGCUGAGGAACGAAAGCGUGGGUAGCAAACAGG
RNAcentral lists this ribosomal RNA (428 nucleotides) under Fusobacteriota bacterium. RNAcentral's name for it is "Fusobacteria bacterium partial 16S ribosomal RNA". It matches the Rfam family "Bacterial small subunit ribosomal RNA", at positions 355 to 776 of the family's 1533-position model. The record is from RNAcentral. Lineage: Bacteria; Fusobacteriati; Fusobacteriota.